Long non-coding RNA from Pezoporus occidentalis (night parrot), 1111 nucleotides. RefSeq lists it as uncharacterized. Lineage: Eukaryota; Metazoa; Chordata; Aves; Psittaciformes; Psittacidae. The transcript is spliced from 3 exons. The record is from RefSeq and is a predicted model, not a curated record.
CGGGCGGCGGGGUUAUUCCAUUUAGGGGGUGACAGGGACCGCCCGGGAGGGGCCCCGGCUGUGAGGGGCGCAGGGCAGUGAGGGUGCGGCAAGGCGGGGCAGGGGAAGAAGUGGAGAAGGAAGAAAAAUAAUCAGUGAAUAUUUAAUAUCUGCUUAAAAUAACGAGGUUUCUCAUUCUGUUGUUCUGUGGUCAGGUGCAGCGUCCUUAGUAGUCUAAUUUCUGAUGGAGAUCCUCAGUGGCACCUGAAAAGUGCAGUAUUCAUCUUUCCUUCAAAACCACUGGCUGGAGAAACUGCAGAAUUCAACACUGCUGCUAAAUGGACUUAUGUGGGAAUUAGGAAUGGUUGUUUCCUGAGAAAAUCAAGCUCAAAAUACUUUGGGACACUCUUGUGGUUUUUGUGCAUAUGGAAUUGGCAGACCAGCACAUGGAACCAUAUUUUACCUAACUGAUGGGCUCACCUUUACAAAAACAAGAGACAAGGAUGGCUGAUCACAGACCUGCAAACCAGGCUGGUGCAAUGAUUUCCUCUGAGAACUUGGCAAAUGCUUUCCAUGUGAAUGCAAUCAAAAGGGAUACAUAAUUUAACAACUUUGCUACCCCUCCAAGAGGAAAAAAAAAAAUAAAUAAAAUAUCUGCUUGCUUUCUUUUUAGAUGAGUAAUUUUUCCUGCCAGGAUGUCUGGCAGCUAAUGUCACCACUAAUACAGUUAUGAAGAGUAAACUUCCUGACCAUCACUUCAUUAGCAGAAUUAUUAAUUGUACUUCCUGAAUUUUUAUUAAUUUUCAUAUUGAAGUCAGAAAUAGUAACUUUUAAUAUUAAAUGGAGCAGGCUGACAACUAGUAAAUAGAUCUUUACUGAAAUUGUAAACAGAAUGUAAUAUAAAAAUCAGAGGAGGCACCAUUGCUGUUCAGAGUAAUAAUCCAAUUUCAGCUUCUUUGCUUGUAAACAGAAAAAAACUCUGAACUGUGAGAGACUGGGUGAAGUUUAUAUGUAAUGUCAGAAGGAAUUUACCUGUCACUAUUGAUUACACAAGAAAGGCAGAAAAACCUUUCUGCAUACAGUUGGCUUCACAGAAUAUACAAAAAGAAUAUGUGUGUUCAGAUCUGCUUGU